Molecule: long non-coding RNA, 1938 nt
Filed under: Marmota monax (woodchuck)
Lineage: Eukaryota; Metazoa; Chordata; Mammalia; Rodentia; Sciuridae
Source: RNAcentral
CCCAGCCCGAGAGUUUUUUAACUGCUCUUUUGCUUUAUUGUGAGUGGGGAAAAUUAGUGAAAUUAUUUGUUUUGUUUCAGGAAACAACUAUUUUUCAUUAAAUACACCACCCAUUAUGAAAGUGGAUAAGUAAAGAUUAUUCAUCAUGCCUGCUGUAGCUUCAGUUCCUAAGGAACUCUACCUCAGUUCUUCACUAAAAGACCUCAAUAAGAAGACAGAAGUUAAACCAGAGAAAAUAAGCACUAAGAGGUAUGUAUCCUCUGCUAGUUUGAUUGAAUCAUUAAUUUUAGUUCAUUUCCUUAUUCAAGUUAGAUGAAUAGUCAGUUUAAAGUUUAUUUGAAAAAUAAUACCAUCACAUGAAUACAGUAAGACUUUAGAGAAGUUCUUUAUCUUCACAGAUUAUGUAUAUGUUCUGCUUAUAUGCAUAAUAACUGCUUUCUGGACAGUAUGUAUAGUAGAUCAUAUGUUUAAGAGACAAAGAAUAUUGAGGGUUUUAUAAACCAUUGUCUUUUCAUAAAACAUUGUAAAAAUGAUGUUUAUUCUUGUUACUACACAUGUGAGUUAUGAUACUAGCAUAAUCUUUCUUUGAUCAAAAGAGAAGUAAUAGGUAGUUUUUGUUCACUAUUCAGUAAGGUAUUAUCUUGUGUCAGUUCAACCUUGGCUUUUAACUUAAUGAUUUAUUCUAUGUAUUUUUGUUUUUGAGGAUCCAUCUACCUGCAGAGGCAGGGCUAGAGAUGAUGCCUUCUUGAUAGAGAUUACAGAAUCUGGCCUGAAUAAAAUAUAAUAGUCAUCUGGUUAUUUCAGUAUUUACUGGAAAUAUAAUUUUGCUAAAAAUGAUGUAUCAAUAAAAUUGUAAACCAGUUAGUUAUAUCUCUGUUAAGGGACAGAAGACAAUAACAGAACUUUUAUUCUGAAUUUAUUUUGACCAACAAAGGAGAUUAAGAGAUAAAUAAGUAACCACAUUAUUAUAGCAUCAAAAAUGAGUUUUUCAAAAGCAAAGUGGACCUAGACACCAUAUUCCCCAUAUUUUGGGAAAGCAGACUUUAUAAAUUAAGGGGGAAAAUAGGUGCUUCAUGACAAGAUACAUAGGAGAGUCUCAAUAUUGAUAUGUAUGAUCUCAAAUGGACCAAUAAAUAGAUGUCCAUGGAAACCUAUGAAUGCACAGGGACAUCUUAAUGAGUCAUAUUUUUAAGGGAAAUAAAUUGAAGAUGGGAAGAAAACAAAACAUCAAAAAUUACAAGAGAAAGGUAAAAACACUUAAAAAGAUCAGGAAAGAAAAAUCCCAAAAUGAACUGAAAUUUCUAAAUGUUACCAAGACAAAAAUGGGCUUUUUUUUUUUUUUUUAAGAUAACCUUUUGGGGAAGAUUAAGAGGGAUUGUGAAUUAUUUCUUAGGGGCUAAGUGGGUGGUAUUGAUGGAUGACAAGGAAAGCAGUUCUAUUUAACUCCUGUAUGUGACUUUCUAAUAGGAAACAGUGGGAAAGAUAAAGUCACUUUUAAGCUUUCUCAAAGCUGAAGGACAGAAGGAUUUUUGAAAUAGGACCUAAAAUGGGUCAUUACUUUCUGGCAGUGUCUGACUUAUAUCUGAGAUCACCCGUACCCCAGAGGAAGUGGUUUAAGUUGGUUACAUCCAAACAUAUCUAACUAUGUACCAAUUGAAGUAGUUCAACCUAAAUUAUGAAAUUUACUCUAUCAAGGUUAUCUUUGAAAUUUAUAAAUGACCUAUAAUUUUUUUCCCAAAUGUCAAGUAUUUUAAUUAUUUUUCCUCUUAAUUUUAAGUUAUGUACACAGCGCCCUGAAGAUCUUCAAGGCAGCAGAAGAAUGCAGAUUAGAUCGUGAUGAGGAAAGGGCUUAUGUUCUAUAUAUGAAAUAUGUGUCUGUUUAUAAUCUGAUCAAAAAAAGACCUGAUUUCAAGCAACAGCAGGUACCUUUUAUUUUUG